UAAUUUGUCUGAGAUCUCAUCUAAUUUUAAUAAACUCACACCUAACUAGCGAGAAAUACAUAUUAUCACAAGUACAAUUGCAUUCAACUGUAUCACUAAUUCUAUUAAACAUACA
This 115-nucleotide microRNA precursor is filed under the name Populus trichocarpa (black cottonwood). RNAcentral describes it as "MIR480 microRNA precursor family". It matches the Rfam family "MIR480 microRNA precursor family". The record is from Rfam by way of RNAcentral. Lineage: Eukaryota; Viridiplantae; Streptophyta; Magnoliopsida; Malpighiales; Salicaceae.